GACGAACGCUGGCGGCGUGCUUAACACAUGCAAGUCGAGCGGAAAGGCCUCUUCGGGGGUACUCGAGCGGCGAACGGGUGAGUAACACGUGAGUAACCUGCCCUCAACUUCGGGAUAAGCCUGGGAAACUGGGUCUAAUACCGGAUAUGACUACUUCGGGCAUCCGAUGGUGGUGGAAAGUUUUUCGGUUGGGGAUGGGCUCGCGGCCUAUCAGCUUGUUGGUGGGGUAGUGGCCUACCAAGGCGACGACGGGUAGCCGGCCUGAGAGGCGACCGGCCACACUGGGACUGAGACACGGCCCAGACUCCUACGGGAGGCAGCAGUGGGGAAUAUUGCGCAAUGGACGAAAGUCUGACGCAGCGACGCCGCGUGGGGGAUGACGGCCU
Molecule: ribosomal RNA, 386 nt
Filed under: uncultured bacterium
Lineage: Bacteria
Description: bacterial SSU rRNA
Rfam family: Bacterial small subunit ribosomal RNA
Source: RNAcentral